Molecule: transfer RNA, 68 nt
Filed under: Homalogonia obtusa
Lineage: Eukaryota; Metazoa; Arthropoda; Insecta; Hemiptera; Pentatomidae
Description: tRNA-His
Source: RNAcentral
AUUUAAAUAGUUUAAGUGCUAGAAUAAUAAUUUGUGGUGUUAUUGGUGAAAUUAAUUUUCUUUGAAUC